Molecule: long non-coding RNA, 422 nt
Organism: Gasterosteus aculeatus aculeatus (three-spined stickleback)
Lineage: Eukaryota; Metazoa; Chordata; Actinopteri; Perciformes; Gasterosteidae
Source: Ensembl
UCAAUUACAGAGUCAAUGCUUUACGUUAAUUGGAGACACAAUAUUCCGUUGGAGGGGCUCCAGUGCAUCAUCAGACACAGCCUUCCAUCUCUUGACCUUGAGCUGGCAGAGACCCUUAUCUCAGACCUCAGGAGAGACGGGUUGCCAGGUCACAAAAUAAACAUGCUGACGAAAGCCGGCGGGUAUAAAAGGAUCCGCGUCUCGAGGGUGUUUCCAUGCAGCUGAGCCACUUCGGCAACCACAAUUCAACCUCCUCUCUCUGCUCCCCCCUCGUCCGCUACGAAUGGUGCCAUCCCAAGUCCGUCGAUGCACCGACACCUCUGCCAACUCCCGCCUGGGUGUGAGAAUACUGCCAUUGAAAAAAGAUGGACAAACGAGGAGGGGAAGAGUUUUGGUUAUUCCCCUGACUGACUAUCUGCUGC